AUGAUGUUGUUUAUCCACAGUGUGCUGGUCUUGAUGCUUGUGGCCACUGCUGUGGCCCAAACUGGAGUUCCACGAAUAAGAUACAGGGUAGACCAGUGGACCGUCUCUGUGGAGACUCCACAGAGUUAUGACUCAGAUGAGCUUCAGCCCUUUGACUCAGAUGAGCUUCAGCCCUUUGACUCAGAUGAGCUUCAGCCCUUUGACUCAGAUGAGCUUCAGCCCUAUGACUCAGAUGAGCUUCAGCCCUUUGACUCAGAUGAGCUUCAGCCCUAUGACUCAGAUGAGAUCCAACCCAUUGGAACAGAUAAGUCUCUUGGUGCCGAUGAACAAGGUGAACUGAUUGAUUCUCCAGUCUGGUUUCUGUUUCUGGUGGUCCCUAUGGUGGUGUUGACAGCUAUGGGAGCUCUGGCUGUGGGUUACUACCUGUGUGUGUGGAGGGGAGGCAGACUAGGCUACCGGCCCAGGAGAGACUUACUGACAAACGUUUAACCAAUUUGCUUUCUGCUCUGUUUGGUUUGAAAAUAAAUUGUUGCUAAUAAAUGUUAGUUCCCUGGCUCCUGCCUUUUGUAACACAUCAGUAUAUGAUUUUAUGUCCAUUACAUGAAACAACCACAAUAAGACCUGGUAGUUUCCUGAUGUCAGUGAAUUGAUUGCUACUGGGACUGCUACAUGGCACAAUGCAUGCCAAAUCUGGACCUAGGCAAUUCUAGGCUGUCAGAAUGUUUUUUUUCUUUGGGAUAGACUCGUUCACCUUAUGUUUCUGUCAUGUUAGGGUUGUUGGUAAGCUGUCAUUUAGGACAAACUCGUUGACUAGUCUUGGUGAUACACAUGGUGUCACAUUCAGGUGACUGACCUGAUGGUGCUCCUGAUUGCUUAACACUUUACUGUCCUAGAUAACAACUGCAAUCCAAAGGUUUUCUUUAUCUGCUGCUGAUUUCAGAGCAACUUUAAAAAGAUACCCUUGCAUACCACCAGGGGUCAUAUUGUUCUAGUAUCACUAGGGUAUUGGCGUUUAAACCAUCUGCAUAUAGAACAGAUGGCAUGGGACUGCAUCAGACAAUCACUACCGGUUUCUCCUUCCCUCAACUCUGCUCCCAGGCAGUCGCUGUUUUUUCCCACUGGUCUAGCGUCCCUCAUUAUCAGAACUGUUGUGAUUGGCAGGUUGAAG
This 1168-nucleotide long non-coding RNA is filed under the name Salmo trutta (river trout). Its description in RNAcentral is "lncRNA (ENSSTUG00000009390.1)". Lineage: Eukaryota; Metazoa; Chordata; Actinopteri; Salmoniformes; Salmonidae. The record is from RNAcentral.